UACGAAGGGGGCGAGCGUUGUUCGGAAUUACUGGGCGUAAAGGGCGCGCAGGCGGCCCUUGAAGUCAGGCGUGAAAGCCCCGGGCUCAACCUGGGAGGUGCGCUUGAUACUCGAGGGCUUGAGUGCGGGAGAGGAGAGUGGAAUUCCCAGUGUAGAGGUGAAAUUCGUAGAUAUUGGGAGGAACACCUGUGGCGAAAGCGGCUCACUGGACCGCAACUGACGCUGAGGCGCGAAAGCUAGGGGAGCAAACAGG
RNAcentral lists this ribosomal RNA (253 nucleotides) under uncultured bacterium. RNAcentral's name for it is "partial 16S ribosomal RNA". It matches the Rfam family "Bacterial small subunit ribosomal RNA", at positions 524 to 776 of the family's 1533-position model. The record is from RNAcentral.